This 468-nucleotide ribosomal RNA is filed under the name uncultured bacterium. RNAcentral describes it as "partial 16S ribosomal RNA". It matches the Rfam family "Bacterial small subunit ribosomal RNA", at positions 28 to 507 of the family's 1533-position model. The record is from RNAcentral.
GACGAACGCUGGCGGCGUGCCUAACACAUGCAAGUCGAACGGAAAGGCCCUGCUUUUGUGGGGUGCUCGAGUGGCGAACGCGUGAGUAACACGUGAGUAACCUGCCCUUGUCUUUGGGAUAACUUCAGGAAACUGGGGCUAAUAUCGGAUAGGAGCUCCUGCUGCAUGGUGGGGGUUGGAAAGUUUCGGCGGUUGUGGAUGGAUUCGCGGCUUACGAGCUGGUUGGUGGGGUAGGGGUUGACAAGGCCUUUGAAGGGUAGCCGGCAUUGGAGCGUGGCCGGCCACAAUGGGACUACGGUACGGACCAGACUCCUACAGGAGGCAGCGGUGGGAAAUAUUGCACAAUGAGCCGGAGCCUGUGGCGGCAGCGCCGCGUGCGUGAUGACGGCCUUCGGGUUAUAAACCGCUUUCGCCUGUGACGAAGCGUGAGUGACGGUAAUGAGUAAAGAAGCACCGGCUAACUACGUG